This 632-nucleotide ribosomal RNA is filed under the name Janthinobacterium lividum. RNAcentral's name for it is "bacterial SSU rRNA". It matches the Rfam family "Bacterial small subunit ribosomal RNA", at positions 818 to 1455 of the family's 1533-position model. The record is from RNAcentral. Lineage: Bacteria; Pseudomonadati; Pseudomonadota; Betaproteobacteria; Burkholderiales; Oxalobacteraceae.
AGUUGUCGGGUCUUAAUUGACUUGGUAACGCAGCUAACGCGUGAAGUAGACCGCCUGGGGAGUACGGUCGCAAGAUUAAAACUCAAAGGAAUUGACGGGGACCCGCACAAGCGGUGGAUGAUGUGGAUUAAUUCGAUGCAACGCGAAAAACCUUACCUACCCUUGACAUGGCUGGAAUCCUCGAGAGAUUGAGGAGUGCUCGAAAGAGAACCAGUACACAGGUGCUGCAUGGCUGUCGUCAGCUCGUGUCGUGAGAUGUUGGGUUAAGUCCCGCAACGAGCGCAACCCUUGUCAUUAGUUGCUACGAAAGGGCACUCUAAUGAGACUGCCGGUGACAAACCGGAGGAAGGUGGGGAUGACGUCAAGUCCUCAUGGCCCUUAUGGGUAGGGCUUCACACGUCAUACAAUGGUACAUACAGAGCGCCGCCAACCCGCGAGGGGGAGCUAAUCGCAGAAAGUGUAUCGUAGUCCGGAUUGUAGUCUGCAACUCGACUGCAUGAAGUUGGAAUCGCUAGUAAUCGCGGAUCAGCAUGUCGCGGUGAAUACGUUCCCGGGUCUUGUACACACCGCCCGUCACACCAUGGGAGCGGGUUUUACCAGAAGUAGGUAGCUUAACCGUAAGGAGGGCGCUA